UACGUAGGGUGCGAGCGUUGUCCGGAAUUACUGGGCGUAAAGAGCUCGUAGGUGGUUUGUCGCGUUGUUCGUGAAAACUCACAGCUCAACUGUGGGCGUGCGGGCGAUACGGGCAGACUGGAGUACUGCAGGGGAGACUGGAAUUCCUGGUGUAGCGGUGGAAUGCGCAGAUAUCUGGAGGAACACCGGUGGCGAAGGCGGCAUCCUGGACCGGCAUUGACGCUGAGGCGCGAAAGCCAGGGGAGCAAACGGG
RNAcentral lists this ribosomal RNA (253 nucleotides) under uncultured bacterium. RNAcentral describes it as "partial 16S ribosomal RNA". It matches the Rfam family "Bacterial small subunit ribosomal RNA", at positions 524 to 776 of the family's 1533-position model. The record is from RNAcentral.